CAAAAACUUACCUGCCAUUUCACUGGAUGAGGUGGUUCAGGCCAUCUUCAGACAGCUAGAAGUUACAGGAGCGUAACCAUUUAUGAUGCUGUGAUACAAACGACACUCUGACGCUGAACCGUAAAGGCUUACUCCACUCUUGGUGGAAUGGCACCUGGUUGUACCUGCAGUGUCUGACAUCAUGAUAGAAAAUCUGGCUUUCUCUCCAUCUGGAGAGGAGUGUUCUUCUGUAGCAGCAUUCACAAUUUAAAAACAGGACUGCAGGGAAUGCAGUGAGGCUUGAGCAAAGGCAGUGGGGGGAGUUAUUGGCGUAUAAAUUCUCUCAGACAUCUGGUGCAGUAAGGUAGACCCGGGCCUUUAGGGCGGAGUAGCUACUCUCCUGCUGAUCGGACAGACUGAUGCUAUUGCCGAACUCAACCAUCGUAACUUUGAGUGGUAGUUCAGGGAGGGCAAUACAGCAGAAUACCAGAGAACAACAGUCUUGUGUGAAUGUGCGGCUGUGUAAAAUCCAUUGAUAUCUUACGCAUGGAAACAUUUUCAGGUUUUGACCCCAACUGGGUCAACUUGUCCAGCUGUUUGCCUUCCACCAACCAGCUUUUCUUGACAUCCGUCACCAACAGGUACUGUACUACCUUCAAAGAUUGGAUGUGAAUUGGCUCAACUCAUUUUUAUAGAAGUCUGUUUUUCUAACAAUGUGGAAGCUACUAACUAAAGUUGUUCCGUGAAAACGUUAUUGAUAACUCGCCACAUUGUUUGGGUGAAGACUCAACAACAGUUGUUCAGCUUGGAAUUUUCUUUGUGCAUCGUCAGCGACGGUGACCUUGUUCGAACCCGAGUUUCCCCAUUCAGCUGUUUCACUGUGCGAAUUGUAUUAGCAGACGCAUUUUGUGUCCAAUCUUUUAUUGAUAAUGGGAUUCCAAUUACGCAAGUGAGUUAAAGCUGAGUUAAAGUUGGCAGCCAACCUCUGGAGUUUUAUGUGGUGAGAGGGUGAAGCUUUUCUCCAGCAUGCAGCACGAGGAGGAAGCAUUUGAGGAUCCAGCUUUAUUUAUGAAUUGAAAUACACGGGCCUGCUGCCAGACGAGACUUUUUGCUUGACCACAAAAGUCCAUGAGAAAAAUUCAGAGUUAUAUGAUCCAGCUUUUCUCUCUCUCUCUUUCUGGAAGACUGGACGCCAGCGAGGUGGGAGUGCGAACGUUCAACAAGGCCGCGCUUGUUCUCCGAGCUGCCGUGUCCCCUGCGUGUCCUCUGUAUGAAACAAAAACAAAGACACAAGCUGAAGAAUCUGGGCCAAUAGAGCUAGCGGUGAUUGUUUGUUUUCUCUCAGCUUUCCUAUUGUAAAAUGUGUUCAGCUCAUCGCUAUGACCAGCUAAGAAGGGAAACAAAAAGUCACAUCCCACUGACUGCUGCUGAAAUUUAUUAGUCAUAAAUCAGAAGAUAUACACCUAGAAAUAUAGACUUUGGGUGUAAACAAACUAGAGAUGCAACAAUCAGAAUUUUGCGACAGAUUCCUGAGCUGUGGUUUCUGUAAAGACUGGUUGCUCUACGAACUGUUUACGAAUUUGAGUUUCCCACCGGCAGGGCCGAUGCAGAACAAGCUGGAAAGAGUACGGUUACUGGGCAACUUCUCAGUUUAUCGCUGAAACGGAAAUGAUGAAAAAGGGUCAUCAUGAAUCUCUUCGACCCAAAGAGAAUGUAAAACUGUGACACGCAUCUAAACUCAAAUAGUCCACUGUAAGCCUCGCUGCCCAACCAAACUAAUAAAAGCAAGGCUCAUUUUG
Molecule: long non-coding RNA, 1778 nt
Organism: Poecilia reticulata (guppy)
Lineage: Eukaryota; Metazoa; Chordata; Actinopteri; Cyprinodontiformes; Poeciliidae
Source: RefSeq, a predicted model, not a curated record